UUAGAGGAAGGAGAAGUCGUAACAAGGUUUCCGUAGGUGAACCUGCGGAAGGAUCAUUGUCGAUACCUGCAAAGCAGACAGCGAACACGUGUUUAACACCGCCUUCCCGCCGGCGUGGUCCAAUGGGUCACGCCGCGCGGGCUAACGAACCCCGGCGCGGAAUGCGCCAAGGAAUACUGAACCAAGCAUCCUCCCCCCGUUUAACGUCCCGUUCGCGGGCCGUGCGGGGGCGAUCRGAUGUCUUACGAAUGUCAUAACGACUCUCGGCAACGGAUAUCUCGGCUCUCGCAUCGAUGAAGAACGUAGCGAAAUGCGAUACUUGGUGUGAAUUGCAGAAUCCCGUGAACCAUCGAGUCUUUGAACGCAAGUUGCGCCCGAAGCCUUUGGCCGAGGGCACGUCUGCCUGGGCGUCACGCAUCGCGUCGCCCCCUUCCACGCGCUCACGCGCCGGUUAGGGGAGCGGAUACUGGCCUCCCGUGCGCCUCGGUGUGCGGCUGGCCCAAAUGCGAUCCCCCGGCGACUCGCGUCGCGACAAGUGGUGGUUGAACACUCAAUCUCUUGCGUCGUCGUGCCGCUGUGUCGUCCGCGAGGGUAUCACAUAACGACCCAACGGUGACGGAGCCUCACGGCUCCAAACCUUCGACCGCGACCCCAGGUCAGGCGGGAUUACCCGCUGAGUUUAA
RNAcentral lists this ribosomal RNA (683 nucleotides) under Salvia prunelloides. RNAcentral's name for it is "eukaryotic LSU rRNA". The stretch from base 259 to 413 matches the Rfam family "5.8S ribosomal RNA". Lineage: Eukaryota; Viridiplantae; Streptophyta; Magnoliopsida; Lamiales; Lamiaceae. The record is from RNAcentral.